UACGUAGGCAGCAAGCGUUGUUCGGAAUUACUGGGCGUAAAGCGCGCGCAGGCGGUUCUUCAAGUCAGGGGUGAAAGCCCAGAGCUCAACUCUGGAAUGGCCUUUGAGACUAGAGGACUUGGGUACGGGAGAGGUGAGUGGAAUUCCGAGUGUAGAGGUGAAAUUCGUAGAUAUUCGGAAGAACACCAGUGGCGAAGGCGGCUCACUGGCCCGUUACCGACGCUCAGGCGCGACAGCGUGGGGAGCAAACAGG
Molecule: ribosomal RNA, 253 nt
Filed under: uncultured bacterium
Lineage: Bacteria
Description: partial 16S ribosomal RNA
Rfam family: Bacterial small subunit ribosomal RNA
Source: RNAcentral